Lolium perenne is the source of this 3769-nucleotide non-coding RNA. The record is from RefSeq and is a predicted model, not a curated record. Lineage: Eukaryota; Viridiplantae; Streptophyta; Magnoliopsida; Poales; Poaceae.
GUUGGGCCUACGUGGCCGCUGUGUUACUGCUUUGGCCGUUCGUGGAUUUGGGAGGCAACGGCCUGGAUCGUGAGCCUGAUCUGAGGCGGUUCCUUUGACCAUUUUCCCAUUUUUUCUCCACCCACGCAUUGUCUUCCUCGCUUCCUCCUCCAAUCCCUAGAUCAUCUUCGUCCUGCACCGCUGCACGGCGACCGGUAGAACUCCGGCUCUCCACUUCCGCGCAUCUGGUUCGCGAAAUCUUGUUUGGUGAGUCCUCCAUCCAUGGUGUCGUUGUCGUUGGGACAGGAAGACGAGGCGAGGAUGAGUGUCCGCGUCCCGGAGCUGGCGGACAUGGCGCCGGUGCCGCAGAGCGACGGGCACUGCCGUGUGGUGGCCAUCGCCUACCGCGAGGCCAUGGACUACUUCUGCGCCCUCUACGCCGCAUCGCUCGCGCUCUUCGCCUCACCGCCGAUGCCAGUCACAUCAACCCCAACAACACUGUCUGACAUUUUAGCCAUGUUAUUCUAGAGGCAUUAGAUGCUGAUUUGCUACAAGAACUCCUCACCCGAGGAGGCUUGGCUUAGGUUGCGUCACCGCUGUUGCUGCCGCUAUACUCCACCGGCGGCCGCUUGGAAUUGCAGUAAGAUCCGCUGUCUCGUUUAUCAUUGUUGCUUCAGUAAUACAUUGCAAGGUAUUUGCAAACAAAUUAAAUCUGCAAGAGCCAAUGAAAUAUAUUCACGGUCUGUUGCAUAGAAAUAAUGUGUUGUGUAGUAUAUUUUUCAUGAUUGUAGCUCACAGCCAAUUUCAAGAAGCUAUCUUGUUGACACAUAAGACGUAUGCAUUCUCUAUUUAUAAUAUUUUGAUGGAUUUUUUCUAAGAAUUAAUCUGUCAUAUAUAAAACAUCCUUAACUAUUUCUGUGAAUUACAUAGUACGACAAUCUCUAUUUAUAUUUUUUUGCAUGACUUCCGGUUAUCUUGCAGUAUUGUUCAAUAUAUAUUUCUUUCAUAAAUUGUAGUACAGGCCACGAGGUGGUUUUCUGUACAUGGGUGUGCGUGCACCAGGUUGAGUGGAAAUAGUAGAAUAUCAUGCAUGUGUAAGUUUGUAGAAGUUCUGAGGCUGGAUAUUUUUUUGGACGUCUGAACAUAUGAAAUUUGAGCCAAAAUUAUAUGUGUUUGAGUUCUCUGCAGAAGAAUAAAAAAGGAGAUAGUUUCUAAAAUAGUCCAUGCAAAUAUGCUCAAUUAUUUUAUUUUGUGGAGCAUGCAAAAUAAAAAAUUAUUGGACAAACAUACUUCAGAAUAGUAUGUGUUCCUUCGUUGUACUGUACAUAACCCGAAUUCUGUUUUCUGCAUAUUGGUUACCUAGCCUUAGGAAUACUGGUUGAAUAAUAUUUGUUUGUUACUUCUCUCUAAACUAAGUAUGGACAUGGCAUAUGCCUGUCCCUGCACAUAUUUAAUCUUCCGCUAUUCAACCAUGUGCCUACAGCCAUAUUGGUGCAUUGCAUUUCUUUAUCUAUUCUCUCAAUUCUUAGUUUUAUGUAGCAAGUAGAAUGACAGUGGAUUGACUCAAUGUAGCAGGACAUGUAUUCUCUUACACCUAACUCAUUGUUCCAGUUUACUAACAGAUAUAAUUAAUCUGUUUUUUGCCCUAUGAUUAACCAUGAGAAACUACCAGAUUUUUCAGUGAUAAUUAUUUAAUAACAUGUUCUUUUUUUUCACGUCUACAUUUAUAUUCUAUAUACAUUACUCCCUCCGUGAUGUGACUUACCAAAACAUCUUAUAUACAUAUUCUUCAUCCCUAUGAAUGUGUAAGAUAAUAAUAAUCUUUACCUGCUCAUGACCAUUGUGGUGUUGAUAGUCUCAGGGCUUUGACUAAUGGAACCAAGUAGAAAAAUUGAUAAAAUUUGGGCAUAUCUAUAAGAUGAUAAUUGCUGAGAGUGCUCAUUCUCUGAUCGAGAAAGUUAUUAAUUUUGCGCAAGGAUGUUUGAGGCCAGGUGGUAGCUCACUAUGGUUAUACCACACAUGAAGGCCAUGUAAAGAAUUAUAUGGCUAAUGAUGAAUUGGUAGUGUCAAAGCGGUUACUUGAAUUUAUUUGUCUACUCGGACUUCUGUGAAUACCUAGGAUACUAAUUAUUUUUAUGGAAGCAUAUAUUUAUCUCAAAUGUGAGAUUUGUUGAUUGUUCUUAUCUGAAUGGUAUUUUGUUUUCAAAUGAUGGAGCUCAUAAAUUUCCCGAUGUUAGAAACAGAAAUUGUUUCUGAAUUUAGCUUUCAAAUAUAGACAACAAUCGACUUUAUGGUAGCAGGAGCUCAGAUUAAAAGCCUCACGUUUGUACAAAUAAACAUAUGCUAUUUAUGGUUUUAUUAAAUACUUAAGGUCUUCAUACUCUCAUGCGACCUUUAUGUUCCCUAUGCUGAUAUAAAAAUUGUGUACUUUGUCGUCUCAUGUGUGUUAUAUAUGUUUGGUUUACCAGUUUGCAAAUUAUUUCCAUGAUAUACUUAUGAUUCAGGUUUAGGAUAGCUAAGCAAAAAUUUAAAAGGCGGUCUAUUGGAUUAGCCCUUCAGGAUGUGUGUGCACUCAAAAGGGAAAAUGAUGAAUUUAUUCUAUGGACAAUGAUAUUUCCUAUUCAGUAGUUUGUUGAGUCACUUGAUACUUUGAAUUUCGUGUUUCAUAAUUAAUGGGAUUGCGGAAGUAUCUGAGAUGCACGUAUCGUGAUUUCCGUGUUAUUUCGUAAUAUCCUUUACCAAAGAGCAAACAUCUUUGAAUAAGUUUUUGUUUACUUCUCUUUUCUUAGCCUCGCAUUAUUGUCUUCCACAUCAAUCAAACCUUGGGGCAUGUGCUUGGUCUUGUGGAUUUUGUUGAAACUGAAAACCAGAUAUCCUCAGAGCUCUAAGCUCCCAGGGUCCUCGGCGCCUGCAGGCAUCUCAAGGGUUGUUGUCGUGGGUCCCGCUCAGGGGAAUGCUGCGCUUGAGUUUGGCUUCGUUCUUAUGUCACUGGAUUGGUGGGUCUGCGGUCGUGUGGUUCCUUUUGAUUGUUGUACUCUUGUUCAGUCUACGAGAGAAUAGUGAGAGGGCCAAACGAAAAGAGGAAGGAGGCUAGGGUUGGGUUUCCCCUUGCGGGGGACAGGCACCGGCGGCGACUCUGCUGCCUCUCUGACCCGGUAAAGGAUCCCACCCAACCUUGAUCAUGGUCUUCCCAAAUUCGUUUUCCAUCGGUGGAUGUGACGCUUCUGAUGUCGUUGUCCAAAUUGUGCCACCCCCGUGGCCCCGUUCCUACGGUCUCCGCUGGACUCUGCCGACCUCUCCGCCGGACUCCCCUGUAGAUGUUCAUGCUUGGAUUUUAAUUUUUAACAUGUUCUCUGUUGAUGGUUUGUUGAUUAUCAGGAUGUUGUUGAUACAGAUGAGUUUGCUAGAGAUAAAUGAUGCUCUUCUGAUUUAGCAGCAAAGUGAACUUUGUUGGAGCUCCUGUGUGGCUUCUUGUUGUCUUUGAUGCAAACUGCUCCUGGUUAUGUGAACUACUUCUCAGCCUUCCGGACCCAUGUGCCGCUUCCACAAGUGCACACUUCCCUUUGUUCUUCUAUUGUCGGCGACAGUAGGCGAGAACCAAAGCUCACUUCUCAUCCGCAGGUGGUUCACUCGAUUAUUUGCCGUUGUUUCUUGAUUAGGCGAAAUUCAACUUUGUUGUUUUUCCUGUAACCAGAGAAAUGAACUACAACUUCCAAUGGUCUUAGUUCUUGUCAGUGAAAAGAAGUGAUAAAUUAUUAAAAGGGAGUACAUGACAAUCUGGAUGGUACUU